GAGCCCUCAGCGGAGCCUCAGCGCAGCCCCGCCGCGCUCGGGCCCGUGCCCCGCUGAGGGAACAUGGGCCUUGCGCUCUGAUGUGUCGCGGUCUGGUUGACUGGAAACCACCGGAUGGGAAAAAAGGCAAUAUGACCAAAGAGCAGUGGUAGAAAGGGGUUUGCCGAGUCAGUAUCCAUCAAACUAGGCCUAUUUUUGUGGUGAAUAGGUGUAAACAUUUAAUUACUUCUUUCAUCAGGCCUUGUGCCAUUAUUCUAAUACACUGUAGUUUUAGCCAAAGGUUUUUUAAAGGUCACCCAUUAGAACUCUCUCAUUCUACCUGUGAACACACAGUAUUCAUAAUUAUUUACCCCUUCCUUGAAAUGCUUUGAGAUCUGUGGUUAAAGUCAGUUACAUAAAAGUUAAUGGUUAUAAAUUUACAUAGUUCCCAUUUUGGAAGGGUCAAUGCCUGAGUUGUUGUAUGAGUUUUUCUGAAGACUAUAAUGUGGGAGCACCCACAUGUCAGAAAGCAAGGUAGCAUUUGCAUGAAGGGACAUUGUUUCCCAGGUGUUUCCAAAUGCACCUACGUGUACCAGGGAGUUUUAUUUCUGAAACCCGGAUCUAACGUCCUAGUUGAGUAUGCAACAACUGCAGUCACCACUAGAAAUAAAACCUGCUUAGUUAACCUACCAUAAUAACUCUGGAAAGACUGACUGAUGAUCAAGACAAAAACUUUGGCACUCAGAAAGAACAUGUAAACAAUCUUCCAGAUUAAAAAGUUGCCAUAAGUACACAUGGUGGAAGAUAAGAACAAGCAGGGUGAGCUCAAGGACUCCCGGAAGCCCAGCUGUUUCAGUCCACGGAAUUUCAGAGAAAUUCCGUGCCGGCCUGAGCAGCAGCGGCCAGAGCAGCGCAACCACCGGCGGGCCGCGGGCGGCCCCGGGACCAGCGGGCACAGGCGCAGCACGGGGCAGCCGAGCGCUGC
Molecule: non-coding RNA, 964 nt
Organism: Cyanistes caeruleus (blue tit)
Lineage: Eukaryota; Metazoa; Chordata; Aves; Passeriformes; Paridae
Source: RefSeq, a predicted model, not a curated record